GUUGGGGUAGUUUAAUAAAAACUUUUAUUUUACACGUAAAGAAUGGUUGCUUGACCUCCUAAUA
RNAcentral lists this transfer RNA (64 nucleotides) under Cichlidogyrus mbirizei. RNAcentral describes it as "tRNA-Val". The record is from RNAcentral. Lineage: Eukaryota; Metazoa; Platyhelminthes; Monogenea; Dactylogyridea; Ancyrocephalidae.